CGCGAAGGCGCGAUGUUUUCGAGUUUUCAUAUUAUUAUGAUAAAUAAAACUUUCCUAGUGAGAUUUAAGAGUGGGUAUAUAUUAUCUAUGCAUUCUACGAGCUUUCUUUCAACAAAUUGUGGUAUAGCUAACGGUAAUACUUAUCGAAGGACGAAGAUCAAACUGAGAGAAACUAGUCGAGUGAUCUGUCUUUAAUUUAAACUGUCUAUUUUGUAUCCAAUGCAGCUGCUUGUGUGCGACGU
Molecule: non-coding RNA, 242 nt
Organism: Paramuricea clavata
Lineage: Eukaryota; Metazoa; Cnidaria; Anthozoa; Malacalcyonacea; Plexauridae
Source: the annotation of a GenBank genome assembly